RNAcentral lists this ribosomal RNA (495 nucleotides) under uncultured bacterium. Its description in RNAcentral is "partial 16S ribosomal RNA". It matches the Rfam family "Bacterial small subunit ribosomal RNA", at positions 28 to 507 of the family's 1533-position model. The record is from RNAcentral.
GACGAACGCUGGCGGCGUGCCUAAUACAUGCAAGUAGAACGCUGAAGGAGGAGCUUGCUUCUCUGGAUGAGUUGCGAACGGGUGAGUAACGCGUAGGUAACCUGCCUGGUAGCGGGGGAUAACUAUUGGAAACGAUAGCUAAUACCGCAUAAUAGUAGAUGUUGCAUGACAUUUGCUUAAAAGGUGCAAUUGCAUCACUACCAGAUGGACCUGCGUUGUAUUAGCUAGUUGGUGAGGUAACGGCUCACCAAGGCAACGAUACAUAGCCGACCUGAGAGGGUGAGCGGCCAACCUGGGACUGAGACACGGCCCAGAAUCCUACGGGAGGCAGCAGUAGGGAAUCUUCGGCAAUGCACGGAAGUCUGACCGAGCAACGCCGCGUGAGUGAAGAAGGUUUUCGGAUCGUAAAGCUCUGUUGUAAGAGAAGAACGAGUGUGAGAGUGGAAAGUUCACACUGUGACGGUAUCUUACCAGAAAGGGACGGCUAACUACGUG